RNAcentral lists this ribosomal RNA (345 nucleotides) under Triticum aestivum (bread wheat). RNAcentral describes it as "partial small subunit ribosomal RNA". The record is from RNAcentral. Lineage: Eukaryota; Viridiplantae; Streptophyta; Magnoliopsida; Poales; Poaceae.
AUGGAUGGAGUAUUAUCUUUGCAUGAAAUUCUGCAUCAUACUUACAUCAAGAAGAAGGUGGGUAUUGUCAUUAAGCUUGAUUUCGAGAAAGCAUAUGACAAAGUGAACUGGGACUUUCUUUUGGAAUGUCUCGAGAUGAGAGGGUUUGGUCCCACAUGGUGUGGAUGGAUUAAAAGUGUCUUGGUUGAUGGCACAGUUAGUGUGAAGUUGAACAAUGUUAUGGGGCCAUAUUUCAAGAGCUUUAAAGGGGUUAGACAGGGGGAUCCUGUGUCACCCUUCCUUUUUAACAUUGCUGCUGAGUGCCUGUGUAAAAUGGUGAAGGAAAUAUGCCCUAGAGGAGAAUGA